Spodoptera litura is the source of this 1834-nucleotide non-coding RNA. The record is from RefSeq and is a predicted model, not a curated record. NCBI's taxonomy places the organism in Eukaryota, Metazoa, Arthropoda, Insecta, Lepidoptera, Noctuidae.
AUAAUAAGUAAUUAAUAAUAAAUCUCGCGAACUAAAUGCAUGCUUGACACUGACAUUUAAAUCACAGAUGUCACAUUCGCUAAUAACCUCAAGCGCACGCGACGACGCAGUAGGUACCGGUAAGCGGUAAUGGCGUCCCCGUUUAUACAAACCGGCAUCUGAAUGUGUAUUACAGUAAAAUAACGUUAUAAUGGUCUUUGUGGUGUAUGGUGUUUUUGAAAGAAAGUGCAACCAAAGCAGAGACGCCGCUGAUCAACCACCGCACCGCGCGGCGCUUUUGGAGAACAUGCUGAUAAUAUAGUGGAUUUCCUGAACCGGUACCACAUACCAGUACCGGAGCAGGACAAGAGACACAGGACACUGUGGACGGCCAAGCUAAGUCAAAAACAGAUACGCCGCGAGCACCAGGACACAGCGGACACGUGGCAACAGGCAGCGACCCGCGCCAGCGACGCCCAGCUGGAGAUCCCACCCGUGGCGGCAGGCCAGGACUCAUGUGGUAAACAACAACAAUGUAUAAAAUGCCAGUAAAUAAGAUCAAAAACCUCCUCUCCAAAACAAACCCCACACCCGUACAUACAUACACACCUUGCAAAUUAAACAAAAUCUUGCUAAAGACAAAGUUAUUGGAGAGAAAGUUGUUGAUGCAGUAGCAUUCUUUUAAGUUGGUACUUAAACGACUGUGUUGCUUUUAGGACUCUUAAUGGUGGUGGGAGAUCAUUCCAGCAGCGAGUCGCCGCAAAUUUAAAACUGCCCCUGAAAGCCGCUGUCCUGUGCUGCGGUAUCUUUAGCGGAUCUACCUCAGAACGGAGACCGGAAUCAUACCGAGUCUGACGCCAAAUCCUCAUUUACCCUCCGCACCGCCAUAGCCGUAUCAUCUCCCCUGAAGGUUAUGUACAGCUGGAUGUCAUCUGCAUACAUGUGGUACAUACAAUUAAUAAAGGAUCCGGCGAUGUCAGCGCUGUAAAGGAUGUACAGCAACGGCCCAAGUAUCGAUCCCUGCGGGACUCCUCUGGGCACUCGUAGUGGAACCGAGGACAUGGUAGAUCCAUCAUCCCUGUGGAUCUGGAUAUAUUAUGUAUACCUAUUUUUCUUUCCCCAUUUAUUGAUAUCAUUAGUUACAUUUAAAAUUUCGUGAUUCAAAAGCAGCGAAAGGGUAAUUAAUGUCAUCAAUCAGAUCGGAUUCAGCAUGUGAAUAAUAAUGCAGUCUAGUCACACUUAAUAUGCAAUAAAGAGUCGCAGUAACUUUAAGAACUGAUUUUAAUUUGAGCGUGUAAUCACCUAAAAUAUGUACCUAUGUUUGCAAACCCAAUUACCAUCUUCAUUUAAACUUAUUGAAGCCUAGACAAAUGAAUCAACCUGUUUUCUAGUUAUUGAUGAUUGAUUGAUAUCAGAUUUGUCAGAGAAUGAUAUUUCAAGUUUCAUAAAGCGGCGCUCCGGAUGAACGCCGUGAUAAUAAAAUUGUAUAUGAAUAUACACAUGUCAAACGGAAAAUAGAUUAGAAACAAUAUUUAACCCCUCGAACGUUCUUAUGAGCACCCGGUGGAUCAUAAGAAAAAAUGCUCCAUGCUGCUUUCUCUUUUAUAAAAUCUAUUAUUAAUGUUUUGUUUUUAUUUUGACUAUAUUUCUUUUAUUUCUACCUCUAUUGUAAUGAUCCUUGUUUUCGUGUGCCAAUGGCCAAAUAAAUGCAUUUUCUUGCAUGCAUAAGGAUAAGGAAAUUCAUAAGGAACGCGGACGCUCGACGGGUUAAAGCUUUUCUUUUGUGCUAUUGCAUAAAGACCAAGAUCUAUAUGAAACUAACUUGUUCUCUGUUGUCCCAUAUCAAAAUUAAUAA